This 466-nucleotide ribosomal RNA is filed under the name uncultured bacterium. Its description in RNAcentral is "partial 16S ribosomal RNA". It matches the Rfam family "Bacterial small subunit ribosomal RNA", at positions 28 to 506 of the family's 1533-position model. The record is from RNAcentral.
GAUGAACGCUGGCGGCGCGCCUAACACAUGCAAGUCGAACGAUUAAAGCACCUUCGGGUGUGUAUAAAGUGGCGAACGGCUGAGUAACACGUGGGCAACCUGCCCCUCUCAUUGGGAUAGCCACGGGAAACCGUGGAUAAUACCGAAUACUUCGGGACUUCCGCAUGGAAGACUCGAGAAAGCUCCGGCGGAGAGGGAUGGGCCCGCGGCCUGUUAGCUUGUUGGUGGGGUAAUGGCCUACCAAGGCAAUGAUGGGUAGCUGGGUUGAGAGACCGACCAGCCAGAUUGGGACUGAGACACGGCCCAGACUCCUACGGGCGGCAGCAGUGGGGACUCUUGCACGAUGGGCGAAAGCCUGAUGCAGCGACGCCGCGUGCGGGAUGAAGGCCUUCGGGUUGUAACCCGCUUUCAGCAGGGACGAGGCGAAAGUGACGGUACCUGCAGAAGAAGCCCCGGCUACCUACGU